This 216-nucleotide ribosomal RNA is filed under the name Glomeromycotina sp. Its description in RNAcentral is "partial small subunit ribosomal RNA". The stretch from base 40 to 216 matches the Rfam family "Eukaryotic small subunit ribosomal RNA", at positions 686 to 864 of the family's 1831-position model. Lineage: Eukaryota; Fungi; Glomeromycota. The record is from RNAcentral.
GGGUCAGUAGGUUGGUCGUGCCACCGGUACGUACUGGUCUCACUGAUUCCUCCUUCCUGAAGAGCCGUAAUGCCAUUAAUUUGGUGUUGCGGGGAAACAGGACUGUUACUUUGAGAAAAUUAGAGUGUUUAAAGCAAGCUAACGCUUGAAUACAUUAGCAUGGAAUAAUGAAAUAGGACGAUCGAUCCUAUUUUGUUGGUUUCUAGGAUUGACGUA